CCUACGUGAGGCAGCAGUGAGGAAUAUUGGUCAAUGGGCGCGAGCCUGAACCAGCCAAGUAGCGUGAAGGAUGACUGCCCUACGGGUUGUAAACUUCUUUUAUAAAGGAAUAAAGUGAGGCACGUGUGCCUUUUUGUAUGUACUUUAUGAAUAAGGAUCGGCUAACUCCGUGCCAGCAGCCGCGGUAAUACGGAGGAUCCGAGCGUUAUCCGGAUUUAUUGGGUUUAAAGGGAGCGUAGAUGGGUUGUUAAGUCAGUUGUGAAAGUUUGCGGCUCAACCGUAAAAUUGCAAGUGAUACUGGCAGUCUUGAGUACAGUUGAGGUAGGCGGAAUUCGUGGUGUAGCGGUGAAAUGCUUAGAUAUCACGAAGAACUCCGAUUGCGAAGGCAGCUUACUAAACUGCCACUGACAUUGAUGCUCGAAAGUGUGGGUAUCAAACAGGAUUAGAUACCCCAGUAGUC
RNAcentral lists this ribosomal RNA (460 nucleotides) under uncultured bacterium. RNAcentral describes it as "partial 16S ribosomal RNA". It matches the Rfam family "Bacterial small subunit ribosomal RNA", at positions 338 to 795 of the family's 1533-position model. The record is from RNAcentral.